RNAcentral lists this transfer RNA (68 nucleotides) under Cephalcia yanqingensis. RNAcentral's name for it is "tRNA-Glu". The record is from RNAcentral. Lineage: Eukaryota; Metazoa; Arthropoda; Insecta; Hymenoptera; Pamphiliidae.
AUAUAUAUAGUUUAAUAAAAACAUUAUAUUUUCAUUAUAAAAAUUAUAUGUAUGUGUAUAUAUAUAUA